Molecule: ribosomal RNA, 253 nt
Filed under: uncultured bacterium
Lineage: Bacteria
Description: partial 16S ribosomal RNA
Rfam family: Bacterial small subunit ribosomal RNA
Source: RNAcentral
UACGAAGGGGGCUAGCGUUGCUCGGAAUCACUGGGCGUAAAGGGUGCGUAGGCGGGGCUUUAAGUCAGAGGUGAAAUCCUGGAGCUCAACUCCAGAACUGCUUUUGAUACUGAAGAUCUUGAGUUCGGGAGAGGUGAGUGGAACUGCGAGUGUAGAGGUGAAAUUCGUAGAUAUUCGCAAGAACACCAGUGGCGAAGGCGGCUCACUGGCCCGAUACUGACGCUGAGGCACGAAAGCGUGGGGAGCAAACAGG